UACGUAGGGUGCAGGCGUUAAUCGGAAUUACUGGGCGUAAAGCGUGCGCAGGCGGUUUCUUAAGUCAGAUGUGAAAGCCCCGGGCUUAACCUGGGAACUGCGUUUGAAACUGGGAGACUUGAGUGUGGCAGAGGGGGGUGGAAUUCCCGGUGUAGCGGUGAAAUGCGCAGAUAUCGGGAGGAACACCAAUGGCGAAGGCAGCUCGCUGGGACGGUACUGACGCUGAGACGCGAAAGCGUGGGGAGCAAACAGG
Molecule: ribosomal RNA, 253 nt
Filed under: uncultured bacterium
Lineage: Bacteria
Description: partial 16S ribosomal RNA
Rfam family: Bacterial small subunit ribosomal RNA
Source: RNAcentral